AACGAACGCUGGCGGCACGUUUUAAGCAUGCAAGUCGAAUGGCAGUGGGGGCAACCCCAUGAGAAUGGCGAACGGGUGAGUAACACGUAGGUGAUCUGCCUGACGGAUGGGGAUAGCUUGUGGAAACACAGGGUAAUACCGAAUGAGCUGACGAGACUUUGGUUUUGAUAGUAAAGGUGCUACGGCACCGCCGACAGAGGAGCCUGCGGCUGAUCAGCUAGUUGGAGGGGUAAAGGCCUACCAAGGCGACGAUCAGUAGCCGGCCUGAGAGGGUGUACGGCCACACUGGGACAGAGACACGGUCCAGACUCCUACGGGAGGCAGCAGCUAAGAAUCUUCCGCAAUGGGCGAAAGCCUGACGGAGCGAUGCCGCGUGAUCGAUGAAGGUCGAGAGAUUGUAAAGAUCUUUUCUACAUGAGGAAUAAGUCUGGGAGGGAAUGCCUGGAUGAUGACGUUAGUGUAGGAAUAAGCCCCGGCUAAUUACGUGCCAGCCGCCGCGGUAA
Molecule: ribosomal RNA, 503 nt
Filed under: uncultured bacterium
Lineage: Bacteria
Description: partial 16S ribosomal RNA
Rfam family: Bacterial small subunit ribosomal RNA
Source: RNAcentral